This 88-nucleotide transfer RNA is filed under the name Thermoclostridium caenicola. RNAcentral's name for it is "Clostridium caenicola tRNA". It matches the Rfam family "tRNA". Rfam says of the family: Transfer RNA (tRNA) molecules are approximately 80 nucleotides in length. Their secondary structure includes four short double-helical elements and three loops (D, anti-codon, and T loops). Lineage: Bacteria; Bacillati; Bacillota; Clostridia; Eubacteriales; Oscillospiraceae. The record is from Rfam by way of RNAcentral.
GGAGAGAUGGUCGAGCUGGUUUAAGGCACCGGUCUUGAAAACCGGCGUAGGCGCAAGCCUACCGUGAGUUCGAAUCUCACUCUCUCCG